RNAcentral lists this ribosomal RNA (484 nucleotides) under uncultured bacterium. RNAcentral describes it as "partial 16S ribosomal RNA". It matches the Rfam family "Bacterial small subunit ribosomal RNA", at positions 355 to 855 of the family's 1533-position model. The record is from RNAcentral.
UGGGGAAUAUUGGACAAUGGGCGCAAGCCUGAUCCAGCCAUGCCGCGUGAGUGAUGAAGGCCCUAGGGUUGUAAAGCUCUUUCACCGGUGAAGAUAAUGACGGUAACCGGAGAAGAAGCCCCGGCUAACUUCGUGCCAGCAGCCGCGGUAAUACGAAGGGGGCUAGCGUUGUUCGGAUUUACUGGGCGUAAAGCGCACGUAGGCGGACUUUUAAGUCAGGGGUGAAAUCCCGGGGCUCAACCCCGGAACUGCCUUUGAUACUGGAAGUCUUGAGUAUGGUAGAGGUGAGUGGAAUUCCGAGUGUAGAGGUGAAAUUCGUAGAUAUUCGGAGGAACACCAGUGGCGAAGGCGGCUCACUGGACCAUUACUGACGCUGAGGUGCGAAAGCGUGGGGAGCAAAACAGGAUUAGAUACCCUGGUAGUCCACGCCGUAAACGAUGAAUGUUAGCCGUUGGGGAGUUUUACUCUUCGGUGGCGCAGCUAA